Columba livia (rock pigeon) is the source of this 6692-nucleotide RNA transcript. RefSeq lists it as uncharacterized. The transcript is spliced from 2 exons. NCBI's taxonomy places the organism in Eukaryota, Metazoa, Chordata, Aves, Columbiformes, Columbidae. The record is from RefSeq and is a predicted model, not a curated record.
CGUGCUCUGACGUGGUACUGAAUACGUGAUGCUAUAUAUAAAAACCAGGAAGCAAUCCAAGAGAAACGGCACAUUUUAGCUCCGCUGCAGACCAUACACAGAACACAGUGAUGCAGAAAAAUAUUCCUGGCUGCGUUUUCCAGCAAAUGUAUUCUUCCCUAACUGGCAUUUCUAUGAAGAGAGACCACAUGAAAGAUCUCAGAAGAUACCUGGUGCUUAAAUAUAUCCAAUACCUCGUCCUGUCUUCUACAAAUACUAUCAGCACUUUGCUGGGUCUGCUGGGCAGUUUGUACACGUUGAUCAUCCUGCAGUCUGCAAAGGUUUCGUCCAAGUCCACUGCGGUUCUCAUUUCCAGCCUCGCAAAGGCAGACCUCCUGGUUUUUGUUAGCGUUGUCUCUGAGAUGGUCGUACGGACCUUUGGCGUUGGUGUCUCCUCGACGACGUUCACGUCGGCCCUGCUGCAGAACCUGCUCACCGCAAACACCCAUAUCAGCUGCUUGCUGCUCAGCUGCGUUGCCUUCGAGGCUUACCUGAUCACCUUCCUCCCCACAGAGUCCCGGCAGCUACGGACGGUGAGGAAUGCCAGACUGACAUCCAGGAUCAUCUGGAUGCUGGUGACCGUGGAGUGUGCCCUGUUCCAAGCGGAUGAUCUCCUGAAGGCCGCCGGCACUUCUGCUCCCACCCGCAGCCCUUGUGUGUUGUUGUUUUACUUCUCCAGCAUGGCUGCCACCUUUCUCAGGUCCCUCAGUUAUUUCCUGGGCAUUAUUUUAAGGAUUGUCAAUGUAUACUUCUACUACAAAAUAUUUUUUAGCAUGUCGAACAGAUCUAGAGUAAAAACAAAAUAGCGCCCAUUCCCAGAGGAAGCAUCGCUGUGACACGAGACAGAAGACACUUCAACACGAUUUCAAAGUACUGGUUUGAAAACUGUUUGAUAACCAAGACCAAGGCUCACAUUUCGGCACACCGUGGAGUUUAAACCUUUCUGUUUUCUGAUGUACUUUGUCUUGGUUAUUGUGAGAGCUUGGGGUUGAGGAGCCCUUUGGCACUGAAACACAAUGAAGUUGGGCUGUGCGUGCUCAUGUGGAGAGACUUUGAGCACCAUGGGCUCGUUUUGAUUGUUCUUCAUCCAGAGUUUAUUCACUGUAUGGGUGAAACAAUUGACAUUUCAUGGACGGUUGUAAAAACUAAAAACCCAAAUAUUUAUUACAUAAAAAGGUGCUUAGAGGCUUACUCAGGGAUCCGUUGGGCCAAGAGCUGUAUGGUUGUAUAAUAAAGAUGUGAUCUAUGUCUUAAAAUGUCUCUAACCCAGGUGAUGCACGGGGCUCAGCAGGUAGGCUGGAUGGACAAGGAGAGCACCAAGCUGACCCAGCCCAGCUGGGCUUGUCCCUCAGGUGACACCAGCCCCACCAUGAGAGUCCCCAGGACAGAGCGGGACUGAGCUGCCUCAUCUUGGUGCACACCUGGAGCUGUUCUCGAGAUGCUGCUACAACAGCGUAAUAAAUAGCUUCACGGGGAGGUUAUCAGCAAAACAUAAAGUCCUCCAGAUACCUCAGAUGCUCCCCAACACACAAGUGGUUGUAGGUACUUCCAGUUACUCUUGCACGGGGGAUGGCCUCCAGCUUCCAUUAAACACUGGUUUUGAGAGACUGAACUUCUGUGAUAUGUCCUGCAAUCCACACAUCGUAAACGGUGGAAAGAAAAGUGAAAUAAGCCAAAGUGCAAGUAUUAGUAGCCAAAAUGCCACAUACAGCCUCCGUCUGUCAUGCUUCCAGACCUUCAGUGCACCCUGCCAGCUUGAGCACAGCAAUAAACCUCUGCCUGCCUGAGAAGAAGGACACGGGGCAAAAAAACCUAAAUAUGAUGAAUUUCAGUUCUAACCUUCCCACCUUCAGCCUGCAGUGGAUCCUCACACUCAAACUGGUACCAGUGAAGCCCUGACGUGCCCUGCUGGCAGCAGCUACUUGGCAUUUAGACCAUUAGAGCUGAAAACUGGAGCUGUGACCACUUCCCCGGGUGGCCCAAGGUGAAUGGAAGCAGAGAGGUUUUCAACAGAAGAUCCGACUUCACAAAACCAAGACAAACAGCAAGCGCAGUAGAGUUUCCUGCUCUCUGCUCGCCAGACAGUUUCUAAGUUUCGCAAUCACGCUUCUCCUAGUUGGUCUCAGAAGUGUUUGUUUGGCUUUUUUCCUCCUUCACCAAGAUGAACUUGACCAAAAAAAGGCAAUGCUGAGAAAAGGGGCAGCGAGAGCCAGUGCUGCCCGGGCAGGAGAUCCUUGUCCCCUGGGGACUGUCUGCAUCGCAGCCGCGCUGAAUGACACAAGAUAGGGGUUUGUUUGCAUGUCAGAUGAUGUCAGCUCAGUUUUAAUGAGAGGCAAAUACCCCAGCCUGAGGAAUACGCAUCUCACAUCAGGAUCUCUGAGAUUCACAGGAGCUAUCUGCCUAAGUGUGGUUAUUUAUGAUGAAUAUCAGCCACGGCAGAGAUGCUGUGGACAGUGCGGGGCCAGAAGCGAGUGAAGAGUGUUUGACAUAGUUUCUCAGAAGACUGAAAGGAAACACUGCUGAGGGCUGGGUGCCCAGCAAAACCAGAGCAGGAAUGGAAUCAAAUCACUUAAAAACACUUUGAUGCAAUCCCUUCAAUUAGGAUGUUGCCUAACAAAGCUGAUUCCUUCUGCAAGAAGGACGUCUUCAUAAUUUGGUGCACUGUGAUAGACUGUUUCUAUUCUGGAAGCCUGAAGUGCCACUUUCAGAGAAGCCAAAAUGCUACUUGAAGUUCUGUAAUUAAUAAAAGUUUGUUUUGUUAAGGCUUGUGCACUAAUUAUGACAAAUGUGUGCCCGUGCAGAUGUCUGAGCAUCCACGAGCGGACCGGAGCCGGGUUUGCUACACGAGGCACAAGGGAUUUUACAUCUCUGAAUUCAUUGCCUGGGUCUCGAUAUUUUUUUGCCUGCUUUCCCUGACAAGUGGCUCUGCCCUCAGGACAAUCCUUUUCUUAAGAAAUUAAUGAAGGCAAACACUUGGCUUAAACAGCAAGCGCAUCGAAAGUGGGCAGCCUAUAGCAAAACACAGCAGCUUCUCACUUGUAUCUGGAAAUCAGGAUCCAGGUACCAGGUUGAGCAGGACCCAGCAGGUGCCAGGGGUGGCACCUUCUUCGCAUCCCUUGCCCAGGGAGACAUGGGGACAUGGAGCCAUCAGCAAAGCUUUUACUGCUCCUUUCUGAGCAGGAGGAAAGCUGUCAUCCUGCUUUACUUUCCAAGUCACUAAUUUCCAUAGUAUGAAUGAGAAUUUUACUAAUCUUAAGUAAGCCAGCAACCAAAAUGAUGUCAGCUGAUGUUAAUACUACAGCACUCCCCAUCCAAAGCAAAGGAAUCGAUUAUCAGCUUACUCCAGCCAGACCAAACCUGGUGUGAACCCCAGAAUACUGCAUUGGGUAUUUUUUCACAAGAGGUUUUAUUUUCUGGGAAGUCAGGAAGGAGAACUAUCAAAAAAUACUGAUAAAAGCAGGUUUUCUGUAGAGCCUGGCAGGUUUUAGAGCUGGGUGAUCUGUUAUCCUGCUGCUGCUCUUGUUCGUGUUAAGAACCAACAGACUCACGAGUGACUUUUUCUACUCAACACCUGAGAAUAUACACACAGAAACAAGCAAUCCUGCAGCUCUGACAUCUUUUCAGCAUCUUCUAGCUACCCACUCCUCCAAAAUGGCAAAUGAAUUCCCCAAAUAGUCUUCACCAAUAAAAGCAUAUGGUAAAGACACACAAAAGCUCUGCAAAGGUAACUAGAGACCCCAUCACCGUGGCCACCCGCAUUGCUUUGAUUGCUGCAUCUCCACCUGGAUGGAUUUGCAAGAAAAAUUCCCAGGAUUUGGGAUUUUCUCAUCUGUGGUGAAGUCACAGGCCUGAUUUGUCUCUGAUUUCAGGUCUGGAGUGGAGCUUAAAACUUCCCCCGUCUGACAUGCUCUGAGGAACGGAGGUUCCCAAGUUGCAUCAUACGCAAAGAUAAGCAACGUGUAAACUUAAGUGUCGGUUAUUGGAGCCACUGAGCUGAGAUCUACAGAUAAGAUGAUUAUUUUAUCACAGCCGAAGUUGGCAAGAUUUUUAUUAGUGAACAUUUAAACCACAUUUAUCUCCUUAGUUGGCAAAGAGGGACACAGAGAAAACCCAGAUGACAGAGAGAUGCUCUUGUGCUCCUAUCUCCUGCCCUAAAUCUAAGCAGCAGAAAGCAAAUGUCUUCUUUGCUGUUGCAUGCCUGCCAGCAGCCUGGCCCCAUCACCCCCGCUUCUGAUCACCUUCUCCAAUUUAAAGGAAACAAACCUCCCACAGCAUGAUAAAGCAACUGAUAAAUAGAAAGCGUUUCCUUUCCCCUGCCAGCAGAUGUUUGCCUCCUCAUACGAAGUUUCAAAAUCAUUAAAAGGGGGAUUUUUCUACAGCUCUACUAACAGACAUGGUCUAUAUUUGUUUUUUAAAUGUCCUUGAAGUACAACUCCCUGAGCAAUUCCGGCUGGGUCAUGAACCAGCACGUCUGAGCAUUGACCCAGCUGUGCCCGAGAGGACAAGUCGCUCUCUGCCAAGGUUCACAGCCCCAUCUGUCUUUGCCAAGAGCUUGGAGUUAUUGUCUUCACCAAAACUUCACAGCACGCUGUCCCCUGGCUUCACGUGCCCUGCAGACACUGCCGUCCCUUGGGCCAUCCCAGGAAGCCCAGCCUGUCCUUGCGGAGUUUUAAAGAACAGAGCAAGACCUGCUCUGCAGAUGCGAUGGUGCUUUUAAGGGCUUUUCCAAGUGAUCAUAGAAUCAUAGCAUCAUUUUGGUUGGAAAAGACCCUCAAGACCAUUGAGUCCAACCAUAACCCAGCCCUGGCACUACCCCAUGUCCCUGAGAACCUCAUCUCCAUCUGUCCAACCCUCCAGGGCUGGUGACCCCAGCACUGCCCUGGGCAGCCUGUUCCAAUGCCCCACAGCCCUUCGGGGAAGAAUUUUUUCCUGCUAUCCGAUUUAAACCCUCCCCUGGCCACCCCCCUCACAUGAGGCCCAGAGAUCCAUAGGGAACAGCAGAAAGUCCAUGGAGGAUCUUCUAGAGCCUGAGCUGGCGGUGGGGAGAACACGGGGCAGCCAGGCCAGCACACAUCCACAGCCCAUCUGUUGUUCAGGUGUUGGUAACCUCAGACAAAUCCCUCCAAAGCCUGAAAAAAUCCUUGGCUACAAGAUAAUGGAGCAACUGGGAAAACCAGCCAGGCUGCUGUUUAUCAGCAGAAUAUUCUAAAAGCAAAGCAGCGGUGAAACAAACCCCCGAGCAGCCUGGGUUGUGGUGGGAGCUUUGUGUUGCUGAGCAAUCCCUGUGGCCAGCUCGAGGACUAUCUUGGGUGCAAGUUCUCUUUUUCAACACCUGCCAAGCAGCGUAAAAUAAAUAGUAAAACACACUUUGGUCCCAGCGGGCAGGGGUGUGAACUCCUCACUGAGCCUCACAGCAGCACAACCCUCCUCCUGCUGUUGCAGCACCUUGUGCUUGUGAUUGUUCCCUUCUCAGGGCACAGAGUUUCUCCAAGCAGGUGAUUUUUGACCGUUCAGCCCAACUGGUCACUGCACUGGUCUAGGACGUGUGUAAACUUUGCCUCUUGGAAGUAAAUCACUUAACAUUUCAAUGCUUUUAUAUGUGUGUCAGUCAGCAAUCACACCACUGCAGUGGUGCUAUAUGAGCACAAAGUUGAAAUAAAAGACAUUUUGGAAGAGAUAUGUGAUGGUGCACAAAGAGGGGAAUUUUCAGGUCAUGAGAACGACCAGAACAGUCAAAAUCUGCAGCUGAGUUUAAAAUUAAAAUCUAAACAGUGUGUUUGCCUCACUUCAUUAUCAAGGCAAGAGCUGAACAUUCCUCAUGCCUUUGCUGGGAAGCCUCUUUCAAAGGAAAUUUGAUAAUAAACCAGGGAGCCAGUUCUGAGAAGGAACCAGUCAGGCAAGAAAGUCUUUUUCUCCAACUAGGUCAUCUUUCAGAGAGCUAUUUUCUGAAACACUGAUAAUCCAAAGAAAGGACUUGAAUUUAGACCUCACCCAACCCACAUGAACAGACUGAGCUGAAAAGACAGGUUUGCUCUCUGCAGUAAAUCAUGUUGCUAGAAGACAUUGAGUUGUCUUGGAAAAUGUUGCUGUUUUGACAUCGAUGCUUUAAAAUCCUAGAAAAUGAGGGACAAGUGUGUUCCUUCUAACAGAUGCUGGCUCAGUUUUCUUUCAUUCGCAGAAAUGUAUCCAAAUAACAUUUAAAAGAGCUUUGGGGGUGUUUUCUGCUCAGUCGGGAGGCAGCCAGACCCUCGCAAGGCUCCGGGCAGCCCCGGCGCACGGAGGGCACAUGGUGCCCCGACACGUCCUGCCGCUGGCGUUUCUGGCUCUGAACACUUGUUCCUUUUUUGCUGUAUCGUUUCUGAAGCCGUUUCUGGCAAGGGAAAUCAGCGCUCUCCUUUGCCGAUCGUGCCCUCUGCUGGGAAAGCAAUGGGUUAGGCCAGCCAGAAAGAAAAUCCUCCCGGUUUGCUCUGGCAGGUGCUGAGAGGAGGCAGCAAGUCCUGACCAGCUCCAGACCUGGUCCCGCGGUGGCACCUUCCAUCUGCCACCUCUGUGCUCUGCCACACGAUGCCCCUUCAUUCAGAUGUGGUUUUGGGAGCUCUAUCUCGUGCAAUGCAACUAUGGCAAAUAAAUCCCACUGGGCAUGAUUAACCCCU